Long non-coding RNA from Pungitius pungitius (ninespine stickleback), 1113 nucleotides. RefSeq lists it as uncharacterized. The transcript has 5 exons. The record is from RefSeq and is a predicted model, not a curated record. Lineage: Eukaryota; Metazoa; Chordata; Actinopteri; Perciformes; Gasterosteidae.
AAGGCAGCACGUAUUAGAGCCGAAACGAGCAGCUAUUGAUGAUAAAAAUGUAGCUUAAUUUGUCUUUUAAAUAGCCGAAUUGUAUACGCUAUAACUCGAAUUUAAGUGCACACCAAUAUAUUAUAUAUUUAUGAGCCUGUUUUAUGUAGUUACGAUGACAUAAACCUAGUGAAGGCUCUGGAAUAUACAUAUUUAUACAUGUAGCUUAGCGUUAGCAAUGAAAUAUUGAAGCUUAAGUCAAGUUAGCUAAAGCUAAGAGGUUCCACUGCGUCUUAAUAUGUACAAAUACAUGGAUCCAGCUUCCAAUCACAGUGCUUUUGAAGUCAUCACGUUGAGCAACGUUAAUUAAAGAUCGGCUCAUCAUCAAUCAGGAGUUUUCCAAUCAACAAACCACCGGUGAAACAGCAGCGAGGCUGCAGACCUCCGCGCCGCUCUGACUCCUGCAGUCGUUUGGAGACACCGGAGCCGACCACGGGACUCUUUAGAGUUCUUCCCGGCAGCGAUUCCCCCGGGAACCCGGUGCUAAGUGAUCCGCUGCAUCGAUCCGAAUGAGACUCAAAGGCCCGGGUGGUUUGAUGAACCCAGAAAGUUUGAGCAGCUUAUCGAACGGCAUCCGCGACACUCAAAAUGAUCCCGAGGCGGCGCCUGUUGACGAUGGUCAACAACAACAACAACAACAAAAGCCUCUGUGGGCGUCCGGCUCCCAGGGCGCAGUGUGUGGAAUCAAAGGACUCGCCUACCUGCCUCCGCCGCUCGUUUAGCCCCCCGGAGAAGAGACGGAGGCUUUGAACAUGUCCCACCGAGUGUCAGAGAUCACAAGCAGGAACACGUCUCACAUUGGAAUCACUUUCACCAGCUGCAGCGAUGCUCCGAUGUCGUUUAUUUACACCAUCAAAACAUCCGUGAGACGGAACCACGAAGGUAGAACAUCUUCCCCAACUUACUAACGCCCGUCUAUUCUUAAAUAAACUUCUCCUGCUUGUUUUACUACGUCAACGGUUGCAGCUUCUCUUCCCUCCUUCACACAAAAACUGCAGCUUUAAAGCAGGAAAACCAUUUUUAGGAGUUUUUUCUCUCUCGCUUUAUCUCUGCCUCCCAUUUCAGCCUCUGCUU